RNAcentral lists this ribosomal RNA (301 nucleotides) under uncultured bacterium. RNAcentral's name for it is "partial 16S ribosomal RNA". It matches the Rfam family "Bacterial small subunit ribosomal RNA", at positions 509 to 809 of the family's 1533-position model. The record is from RNAcentral.
CAGUCGCCGCGGUAAUACGUAGGGCGCAAGCGUUAUCCGGAAUUAUUGGGCGUAAAGAGCUCGUAGGCGGUUUGUCGCGUCUGCCGUGAAAGUCCGGGGCUCAACCCCGGAUCUGCGGUGGGUACGGGCAGACUAGAGUGAUGUAGGGGAGACUGGAAUUCCUGGUGUAGCGGUGAAAUGCGCAGAUAUCAGGAGGAACACCGAUGGCGAAGGCAGGUCUCUGGGCAUUAACUGACGCUGAGGAGCGAAAGCAUGGGGAGCGAACAGGAUUAGAUACCCGAGUAGUCCCUGUCUCUUAUAA